GAGAGGGGGCCGGGGGUUACGGCUUGAAGCUGGGGAAGGUCCGCCCACGCCCCCAGCGCCGCCCCUCCGCAAGGAGGCACCCUGAGAGGGGUGGGAAGGCCCACAGAAACGGCACGUCCUCAGGGGGAUGACGAUGAUGCCGGUGAGGCUGAGAAUCCUUGGGGGAGCGGUGAAACGGGGCCCCGGCGGCGUGCAAGCCAAUUCCCGCGAUGAGGAGCUGGGGCGAGCG
The sequence is an RNase P RNA, 229 nucleotides long. It matches the Rfam family "Archaeal RNase P", at positions 1 to 228 of the family's 288-position model. Rfam says of the family: Ribonuclease P (RNase P) is a ubiquitous endoribonuclease, found in archaea, bacteria and eukarya as well as chloroplasts and mitochondria.